Molecule: long non-coding RNA, 259 nt
Filed under: Elaeis guineensis (African oil palm)
Lineage: Eukaryota; Viridiplantae; Streptophyta; Magnoliopsida; Arecales; Arecaceae
Description: long non-coding RNA (EGUI_LNC032852)
Source: RNAcentral
CUCUUUAGAGCGUGCAUAUCGUGAGUCCAUUGAAAAUAGAAGACAAGUCAAGUCGGAUAUAUAUAUACAUAAAAAAAGGAGGAGGAAUAUCGAAAAAUUACCCCAAGUAUCGCUGGGUAGAAAGAAGAAAACAUCUUGGACACCAUUCGAUUCUUUUUGUUCUCUCUAUCAGUCGGGAGAAGUGUAGCUUUAAUGAGUCAUCUAGCCAAUAGUGGAUUGGCCAGAGCUGAUUCACUUGUGAGAAUUCGGAUGUCGAAGA